AACGCGAAGAACCUUACCCAGGCUCGAAAUGCAGGGGACGACACCAGAAAUGGUGUUUUCCGCAAGGACCGCUGCAUAGGUGCUGCAUGGCUGUCGUCAGCUCGUGCCGUGAGGUGUUGGGUUAAGUCCCGCAACGAGCGCAACCCUUAUCAUUAGUUGCCAACAUUUAAGGUGGGGACUCUAAUGAGACUGCCUAGGUUAACUAGGAGGAAGGUGAGGAUGACGUCAAGUCCGCAUGGCCUUUAUGUCUGGGGCUACACACGUGCUACAAUGGUCGGUACAGAAGGGUGCAAGAUCGCAAGAUGGAGCAAAUCCGUAAAGCCGAUCUCAGUUCGGAUUGUAGUCUGCAACUCGACUACAUGAAGUUGGAAUUGCUAGUAAUGACGUGUCAGCAACAGCGUCGUGAAUACGUUCCCGGGCCUUGUA
Molecule: ribosomal RNA, 426 nt
Filed under: uncultured Chlamydiae bacterium
Lineage: Bacteria; Pseudomonadati; Chlamydiota; Chlamydiia
Description: bacterial SSU rRNA
Rfam family: Bacterial small subunit ribosomal RNA
Source: RNAcentral